GCUUGCGGAAGUUUUAUUGGAAAUCAUCUUUCGUGCGCCAUAUAUACAUGGUGAGUGAUGUAUUCAUGAUCGUGUGGUUCCUCCUCCUGUGAUGUCAGUCUCUGCUCUAGUUCCUUCUCGGCCAUGGGCGCGUCUUCCAGUUCAACCUCGUUCGUUUCUUCCUCCUCCUUGGCGUCCUCUUCCAGGGAAUACGAAGUGUUUCUGAGUUUCAGGGAAGAAGAUACCGGCCAAGGCUUUGGGGGUCACCUCUACACAGCUCUCUGGGAUGCAGGAAUCCGCACUUUCAAGGACGAUGGGGAGAUGGCGGCGGGAGUGAACAGCGAGAGGCUUCUGAAAGCAGCACAGGAGUCAAGGUGCUGCGUGGUCGUCAUAUCCAGCGGAUAUGCGAAUUCAUAUCGGUGUUUGAAGGGACUGACAGCCAUGUUUCGGGCUAAUACGGAGAUCAUCCCCGUCUUCUACAAUGUCGACUCUUACGACGUGCGCAAUCAGAGUGGCCCUUUCGAGUUUGCUUUCACCAAACAUAAACAGAAUCACACCUAUGAAGCUGUUGAGGAAUGGAUGCAUGCGAUGGCCACAGUUGGUAAACUUAAAGGUUUCCAGGUUAAUCACCAGUCGAGUAGGGAGAGACAAGUGAUACAAGAGAUCGUGGAACGAGUGAGCGGGUGCAGAGAUAAUCAGUCGCGUAAUCGUCCUGAAAGAAAUUCCGACUCCCAUGUCCGAGACGUCUCAGAACUUCUAAGUCUUGAGGAAGGAGGCGUUAAAAUGAUCGGAAUUUAUGGGAUGGAAGCUGUGGGGAAGACAACAGCCGUAAGUGAACUACUCGGCGCCGGCGGACUCUCCGGUAGGUUUGAUAAAGUUAUCCACAUAAGGGGCAUCAAGGACAAAGCCAGAAACGAUGGGCUGCACAAAUUACAACGAGAGUUCAUUUCUCCAGCAUUAGAAGGUAACGAGGAAGAAAUUUAUAGCUCCCGUGAGGGGAUCAACGAGAUCCAAAGGCGAUUUCGUCACACGAGGGUACUUGCUAUUCUUGAUGAUGUUGACGACAGAGAGCAAUUGAGAGCAUUAGCUGGUGGACGCGACUGGUUUGGUGAAGGAACGAGGAUCGUCAUCACCGCAAGGGAUGUGCAGAUUCUGGAAGCGCAUCGGGUAGAUAGAAAGUAUGAUGCCCAGGGAUUGAGAUGGAUCAACGAAUCCUCGUCACCACAUGAACUGCCCUCAUCGCUUGAGCGUCAUGGCUGGCACCAAUAUGAAGGAACAGAUCAUCAUUUUCAACGUCAAAGGAACUAUCCUUAAAUGAAAAAAAAGAUGUGGUUUCAUUGCAGACUUUGUGAAGGGUUCUACAGUCCCUUAUUUGCACCUUGUUGUGAGUGUGUAAAUUUUAUGGGGUGUGGGCUUUGCUCCUUGUUGUGAGUGUGUAAAGUUUAUGGAAUGUGGUGUGCGGAAUGGCUGAGUGGAAGCGCUUAGGAAAGUGAAGCAGUUCAAAUAGACCAAAAAUCUCAACCUUUUUGAGGGACAAGAAGAAGGUGGCCGACUUUUAAACAUCUCAAAUCAUUUAAAGAAUCAGACAUGCCAAAUUUAUUUUUGG
RNA transcript from Nymphaea colorata (pocket water lily), 1585 nucleotides. It is a transcript of the gene named TMV resistance protein N-like, with no coding region annotated. Lineage: Eukaryota; Viridiplantae; Streptophyta; Magnoliopsida; Nymphaeales; Nymphaeaceae. The record is from RefSeq and is a predicted model, not a curated record. The transcript has 3 exons.